RNAcentral lists this long non-coding RNA (1083 nucleotides) under Crocodylus porosus (Australian saltwater crocodile). RNAcentral's name for it is "lncRNA (ENSCPRG00005005207.1)". Lineage: Eukaryota; Metazoa; Chordata; Crocodylia; Crocodylidae. The record is from RNAcentral.
CUCUCUCUCACACACCAUCUGUCUGUCUGCCUGUCUCUUUCUUCCCCCGGGGUCAAAAAAUGGAGAGGGACCCUAGAUGUCACACCACGUUGAAAGGCUUCUCUCAGGCAUAUAAGCUGUUAUAAUGUGGACUGUGACAACAGUCAAUGUUUUGCUUGCUGUCUCUGCUGGGAAAGUCAUAAAGUUAGCAUUAGAAACUACCUGAAACACUGAUUUUUGCCACCAGAGGUGGCAAAACUCCCCAAAGUCCUAGAGCCAUUCUCUCCAUUCUGGCCCACCUUUAUAAAGAUUGUUAUUACCACUAGAGCCAACUGUAACACAGCCUCCGCAGACGGCCUGUUGAAGAACACGUGCAAAUCAGAACUAACUCAGAGAGAUGCCUCAACAGAAGUCAGCAGGUCCUUGCUUCCUGAAAUAUGCUCCGUGAAGCUUCUCCAGGACACCAUGAGGACAUGGCGUCUAUCUGCAACAGGCUUCCAUAUGUCCAUGCCUGUGGGCAUCAGGAAGUGUAGCUGCAGGGAGUCUGAUACUCAGUUUUGCAGAGCUGAGUUGUACCUGGUGUUGUCGUUGUAGUAAAUAUGCCCCAUUCACUGCAGCCCUGUCACUUGAGACUGCCAGAUCCAGUGCCAGUAUGUGUUCUCCAGACAGCACAGGUCAGGGUGAGGGUCUCUCCAGGUUCACCACUCCUGGGCCAGACUGGACCAGCUGCACUUGGGACAAGACACCUGGAAACAGAAAGACUGGAGUGAAAUACAAUGCAACUCAUCUUUUGUUUGGUGGUGAGGGCAGUUGAACUCCUGGCUACUAAGUGAACAGCAGUCAGAACUGGCUGUAGAGAACAUCCCCCUGAGACAUGGACCUGGAGUGAGGAGGGAGAGAGAGGAGAGAAACAGCCAUAGUGGGUGUGUCCAGAUGAGCACAAGUGUGCCUCUUGCAGCAUCUCAAACCCUUUUGAGAAGCUGCAAGAUGCAUGUGCAGGAACAAAAAAACGCUCCUCAUGCUACAUAGAUGCAAUGCAGGGGCAAAAUCUGGUACCUGGAUAUCCAGGUACCAAAAUAAAACCCUGAGGAAAAAAGUGGGGCA